RNAcentral lists this ribosomal RNA (301 nucleotides) under uncultured bacterium. Its description in RNAcentral is "partial 16S ribosomal RNA". It matches the Rfam family "Bacterial small subunit ribosomal RNA", at positions 509 to 809 of the family's 1533-position model. The record is from RNAcentral.
CAGCCGCCGCGGUAAUACGUAGGGCGCAAGCGUUAUCCGGAAUUAUUGGGCGUAAAGAGCUCGUAGGCGGUUUGUCGCGUCUGCCGUGAAAGUCCGGGGCUCAACCCCGGAUCUGCGGUGGGUACGGGCAGACUAGAGUGAUGUAGGGGAGACUGGAAUUCCUGGUGUAGCGGUGAAAUGCGCAGAUAUCAGGAGGAACACCGAUGGCGAAGGCAGGUCUCUGGGCAUUAACUGACGCUGAGGAGCGAAAGCAUGGGGAGCGAACAGGAUUAGAUACCCCAGUAGUCACUGUCUCUUAUAA